RNAcentral lists this ribosomal RNA (264 nucleotides) under uncultured bacterium. RNAcentral describes it as "partial 16S ribosomal RNA". It matches the Rfam family "Bacterial small subunit ribosomal RNA", at positions 793 to 1055 of the family's 1533-position model. The record is from RNAcentral.
GUCCACGCCCUAAACGAUGUCGACUGGUUGUUGGGGUUUGACACUCUCAGUAACGAAGCUAACGCGUGAAGUCGACCGCCUGGGGAGUACGGCCGCAAGGUUAAAACUCAAAGGAAUUGACGGGGACCCGCACAAGCGGUGGAUUAUGUGGAUUAAUUCGAUGCAACGCGAAAACCUUACCUACCCUUGACAUGUCCGAGAGGCUCCAGAGAUGGGGCUGUGCCCCGAAAGGGAAUCGGAACACAGGUGCUGCAUGGCUGUCGU